GCGUGAUUUUUAGAUACGGGUUAGGGAAAUCCGUGAAACGGAUGCGGUCCCGCCGCUGUAGGGGUGGACGAAAGCUGCAAAAGUCACUGUUCUGCGCCGAGUAAACUAAGCGCGGAGCGGGAAGACGCGGCCGGUAGGAUGAGGCCCCAAGCCAGAAGACCUGCCUGUAAAAAUAUAUAAUG
Molecule: non-coding RNA, 182 nt
Filed under: Candidatus Omnitrophota bacterium
Lineage: Bacteria; Pseudomonadati; Candidatus Omnitrophota
Source: RNAcentral